CCUCGCGCCCCCUCCUCUCCUCUACUUUAUCUAAUAUGCUGUCCUUCCCCAGGGACUGGCCUCUCCUGCAAAUAGUCUACACUGGACUAAGCGCCAUGAACCCACCCAGUAGAAGGGUAGAAGCAAGGUACAAGGUAGAAGCAAGCCCUGACAACCUGAUUUCGGACCGAUGCCAGCCUAGCAAAUGCUUGUCACCCACGGUUGCCCUGGGUUGGAAUCAACUCGAAGGCAGCCAGUUUGGUUGAGCUUUUCUUGGGGGAGGUUGAGCACAGGGCAGGAUACAUGUGGCCCAGAUUCCUGGAAGAAAUCUUUAAGCUGUGUUUCAAGUGAAGUCACCAACCGCUGAGAUUCAUUUGGGGAGGGCACCGGUGCAGUGUGGAAGGCCUGCAGCUCUGAGACAUCAGCUGAGCUCGUGGGGUUUCGGCGCCCUGGUUGCACCCAGGUGUGCAUGACCCCUAGUGCAUGCUGCUGUUCUGUCCUGGAAGACAGGUGGCGUGUCCUUCGAAAGCCCCACUGCCUUGUGAAUACCUGUUCUUCUGGGCCCACAGGACGAAAGGGUGAGUGGAGCUCACACAAAGCCCCUCAGAGCAGCCCACAGUCCCUUUCCAGAGCAGUAGACGGAAACAGUAGGUGGAAACAGCCAGUGCCGGGACAGAGGCGAGAGGAGGUGGUGUUUAGGACCCUGCACACGGGGAAGCAGCCUUGCAGAUAAGUAUUCACACUGACCAACCUCCCCUCCCCUGACCUGGGCAGGAGCCUCAAAUCUCAACAUGGGAGGGGCCAACUCCCUUUCCUUCCUAGACAGCAGAAAGAGCAAGCCUCUUCUCAACUUAGGGAGUGCCCCUGAAAGGGCGAUUCUACCCCCACCCCACCAGCUUUUGGCCUUGAAGCUCCUAUUUUUAAACCAUGGUGUCUGGAGCUUCUUUGAUUACUUCCUUGAAGACCCUGCACAUCUUGAGUGUCAGGGGACUGGGGACCCUGCUGCCUUAGUCUGGCCCUCCAUCCUGCUCACCACACUGGGCCAGGCUCCUCCUGGCUGGGGGUGCUUUGCCUGGCCCUCAGGUGUUUGGAGGACACCUUCCAGCUCAGGGCUCUGCGGGCACCUGGGGCCCCGGGUGGGUCAGUGCCAUACAUUGCCCUCUCUGGACACAUGGUGGCUCCUGUAAGGGGAAUGAGUUAUUACCCAAAGUCAAACUUGACAGAUGGCUGCUUGGCGGUGGUAGGAGUUCCUAGCUUCUCUUUGGGGCUUAUGAAAUUGGAGGCAUGGGGUGGUCUUAAGAGCCCUGUUUCACCUUCUGGCCCUAUUCCUUGGUGGGGCUCUCUAGCAUCCUCAAGUGUGUGGGGCUGGAGGAGAGGGUGGGGUGGAGGAAGCAGGGCAGAACAUAUAUCGGAGUCCCGGCAGGAGGGCCCGUCCUGUUUCUGUCCACUACCUCAGAUCAUGGGGGCAGGGUUAACCCUGAAUCCAGCGGUCCUGUCUGGCUGGCACCCAGCUGUAGUUUUCUCCUGGGUCACAUUUCCCCCUGGUUGGGAGGCAGGAAGGUAUGUGCUGGGAGACCCUCCUGAUGGUAGGGAACUCUCCGGGGGUAGGGGAAGGGAGGAGGAGGGGGCUUCACCCAGGCCCCACCUCCCCGGCCCCCAGGCCUCCUCCUUGUGAACAGAGGACUGUAGCCAGACCUGGGCCUGGGGAGGGGGCCUGGGGGAGUCUUCUCCUGCGGUUGGCUGGCUUUGUUGUCUUCCAGGGCCUGUCCAGGGGUCUCCGUGGGCCAGGAGCUGGGAGCUACCUGGGCUGCCUACUUGUAGGUUGGACGCUACUGCCAGACACUGGGAGGCUUCUCCUGGAGCAGAGGGAAACAGGACAGAUGUGGCCCACCCUUAGGGAUCUUCACAAGACGGGCUUCCUCCAGGUCCCUUGGAGGGGACACCAGGGGCCAGACCCCUCAUCGUGGAAGGUGGCUCUGCUCCCGCUGGGCCCCAGGAUCAUGGCCCCACCCUCUCUUUGGAGCCUGAGCAGGCCACUCUGGCCUGUGGUUUUCUGGAUCUCUGGGUCAUCUCUCUGGCCGUGGACAAGGCCCCUCUUUGGGCUCUGGAGGACAGCGGCUGGGGUUGAGGGGGGCCGCUGCCCCAGCUCACCUUCUCCACCACCGGUGGGGGUUCUGCCUGCUGGCGCUGGAGGCCCCAUCCUGACUAUGUGCACAUUGCUGCCAGUGGCCUGAGCCCUGAUCACACCUUCCCCAGACCAGGCCUCCCAGGGCUGUGCGGCUGGGGCCAAAACACAGACCUGGGCAUUGGGGUCGGGUGAGGGCUGGCAGGGCCUCAGUUGGGGUCUCUGGCUGUCCUGUUAGUUGCCCUCAUUGCUUUUUGGCUUUCCCCAUGUUCCUCUGCCCCGUGACGGUCAGAGGGAGGAGGCACUCAGCUCUGGGAGGGGCGCUGGAGGGGCAGAGGGGGUGCUAUCUUGAAAUCACAGGGACUCCUUUUGAGAGAGGAGAGGCCUCAGGCCAGGGGGACUCACUCGAAAGAGCCAGCCUGCCUGGGUUCUGAGUCUCAGGUCAUCUGACCAAAGCAGCGGUUCUCAACCUGUGGGUCACAACCCCUUUGGGGGUCGAAUGAGACCCUUUCACAGGGGUCACCAAUU
This is a long non-coding RNA of Echinops telfairi (small Madagascar hedgehog), 2632 nucleotides long. RefSeq lists it as uncharacterized. The transcript is spliced from 3 exons. NCBI's taxonomy places the organism in Eukaryota, Metazoa, Chordata, Mammalia, Afrosoricida, Tenrecidae. The record is from RefSeq and is a predicted model, not a curated record.